RNAcentral lists this ribosomal RNA (460 nucleotides) under uncultured bacterium. RNAcentral describes it as "partial 16S ribosomal RNA". It matches the Rfam family "Bacterial small subunit ribosomal RNA", at positions 338 to 795 of the family's 1533-position model. The record is from RNAcentral.
CCUACGGGUGGCAGCAGUGAGGAAUAUUGGUCAAUGGGCGAGAGCCUGAACCAGCCAAGUCGCGUGAGGGAAGACGGUCCUAUGGAUUGUAAACCUCUUUUGUCGGGGAGCAAAAAGGCCUCGUGAGGCCACAAGUGAGAGUACCCGAAGAAAAAGCAUCGGCUAACUCCGUGCCAGCAGCCGCGGUAAUACGGAGGAUGCGAGCGUUAUCCGGAUUUAUUGGGUUUAAAGGGUGCGCAGGCGGAAUGUCAAGUCAGCGGUAAAAUUUCGGGGCUCAACCCCGUCGUGCCGUUGAAACUGGCGUUCUUGAGUGAGCGAGAAGUAUGCGGAAUGCGUGGUGUAGCGGUGAAAUGCAUAGAUAUCACGCAGAACUCCGAUUGCGAAGGCAGCAUACCGGCGCGCAACUGACGCUCAUGCACGAAAGCGUGGGUAUCGAACAGGAUUAGAUACCCGUGUAGUC